This 852-nucleotide ribosomal RNA is filed under the name Triticum aestivum (bread wheat). RNAcentral's name for it is "partial small subunit ribosomal RNA". Lineage: Eukaryota; Viridiplantae; Streptophyta; Magnoliopsida; Poales; Poaceae. The record is from RNAcentral.
AUGGAGAAGAACUCCCACCUCAAGGAUUUGCAAGCGCUUGGCCCCUUGGACAUCAUCCGUGCCGAUCUGAGUGAAGAAGGCAGCUUUGACGAGGCAGUUUCUGGCUGCGGCUACGCCUUCUUGGUUGCUGCCCCGAUGGACUUCGGGCCGGCAGAUCCUGAGGCUAUGAUCGACGCUGCCGUGCAAGGAACACUCAACGUGAUGAGGUCGUGCGUGAGAGCGAAGACGGUGAAGCGUGUGAUCCUAACGUCAUCACACGGCGCUGUCUGUAGGAGGCUGUUGCAGGGCGACGACCACGUGCUGGACGAGAGCUCUUGGUCCGACGUCGAGUACCUCAGAGCCAACAAGCCAAUAACUUGGGCAUAUGCGGUAUCGAAGGUGCUUCUAGCGAAGGCGGCGAGCGAAUUCGCGGAGGAGAACGGCAUCAGCCUUGUCACCGUGUUGCCCGUGUUCGUCUUGGGUACAGCACCGGUCUCCAAGCCCGCAUCCAGCAUCGUCCCUAUCACCCUCUCCCUAUUGACCGGUGACGAGGCACUGAUGGGCAUCAUGAUAGGGUUGCACUCGACCACAGACGGUAUGCCAAUAAGCCACAUCAACGACCUCUGUCAUGCUGAGGUGUUCGUCGCUGAGAAUGAGUCCUCCUCAGGAAGAUACCUCUGCUGCAGUCACAACACCACCAUCUUGCAACUCGCUCGUCUCAUGGCCGAGAAGUACCCACAAUACAACAUAAAAGUCAAACGCUUCGAGGGGUUCCCAGAGAGGCCGAGAGUGUGUGUGUCGUCUGAGAAGCUCAUCGGAGAAGGGUUUGUGUUCAAGUACGAUGAUAUCCCCCGCAAAAAAAAAGUACGAUGA